RNAcentral lists this ribosomal RNA (214 nucleotides) under uncultured bacterium. RNAcentral's name for it is "partial 16S ribosomal RNA". It matches the Rfam family "Bacterial small subunit ribosomal RNA", at positions 1287 to 1500 of the family's 1533-position model. The record is from RNAcentral.
CCCAGUUCGGAUUGUAGUCUGCAACCCGACUACAUGAAGCUGGAAUCGCUAGUAAUCGCGAAUCAGAAUGUCGCGGUGAAUAUGUUCCCGGGUCUUGUACACACCGCCCGUCACACCAUGGGAGUUGGAAAUGCCCGAAGUCAGUGACCCAACCGCAAGGAGGGAGCUGCCGAAGGCAGGUCCGGUAACUGGGGUGAAGUCGUAACAAGGUAAC